RNAcentral lists this ribosomal RNA (354 nucleotides) under Heliogomphus selysi. RNAcentral describes it as "partial 12S ribosomal RNA". Lineage: Eukaryota; Metazoa; Arthropoda; Insecta; Odonata; Gomphidae. The record is from RNAcentral.
UAUAAAUGUAAAUAUUAUGCCAGGGUAGUAAUAGUUAUGUUCUUGAAACCCAAAGAAUUUGGCGGUAUUUUAGUCCUUUCAGAGGAAUCUGUCCCGUAAUCGACAUCCCACGAGAUAUUUUACUUAUUUUUGUUUUCAGUUUGUAUACCUCCGUCAUAAGAGAAUCUUUUUAGAGUUUAAAUUUUCUUAAUAUAUCAAUUAUAUUAUGUCAGGUCAAGGUGCAAUUUAUGAAUAAGAGGAGAUGGAUUACAAUAAAUUUUAUUUAAAUGGAUUAGGUUAAUUAUUUUUCCUAUGAAGGUGGAUUUGAUAGUAAUUUUAAUUAUUUAUUAUUAUGAUUUUGGCCCUAAAAUAUGC